RNAcentral lists this ribosomal RNA (207 nucleotides) under uncultured bacterium. RNAcentral's name for it is "partial 16S ribosomal RNA". It matches the Rfam family "Bacterial small subunit ribosomal RNA", at positions 568 to 774 of the family's 1533-position model. The record is from RNAcentral.
CGCGUAGGCGGCAAGAAAAGUCAGAUGUGAAAUUCCGGGGCUCAACCCCGGAGCUGCAUUUGAAACUUUCUAGCUAGAGGUUAGUAAGGGAAACGGAAUUCCACGUGUAGCGGUGAAAUGCGUAGAUAUGUGGAAGAACACCGGUGGUGAAGACGGUUUUCUGUGCUAAACCCUGACGCUGAGGCGCGAAAGCUAGGGGAGCAAACA